This 426-nucleotide ribosomal RNA is filed under the name uncultured bacterium. RNAcentral describes it as "partial 16S ribosomal RNA". It matches the Rfam family "Bacterial small subunit ribosomal RNA", at positions 354 to 796 of the family's 1533-position model. The record is from RNAcentral.
GUGAGGAAUUUUCCGCAAUGGGCGAAAGCCUGACGGAGCAAUGCCGCGUGAAGGAUGAAGGCCUAUGGGUUGUAAACUUCUUUUCUUAGAGAAGAAUAUUGACGGUAUCUGAGGAAUAAGCAUCGGCUAACUCUGUGCCAGCAGCCGCGGUAAUACGAAGGUCCCAAGCGUUGUUCGGAAUCACUGGGCGUAAAGGGAGCGUAGGCUGCGCGGUAAGUCAGGUGUGAAAUCCCGGGGCUCAACCCCGGAACUGCACCCGAUACUGCCGUGCUAGAGGGUUGGAGAGGUGACUGGAAUUCUCGGUGUAGCAGUGAAAUGCGUGGAUAUCGAGAGGAACACUCGUGGCGAAGGCGAGUCACUGGACAACAUCUGACGCUGAGGCUAGAAGGCCAGGGGAGCAAAAGGGAUUAGAAACCCCAGUAGUCC